GAUGAAGAACGUAGUGAAAUGCGAUAAGUAAUGUGAAUUGCAGAAUUCAGUGAAUCAUCGAAUCUUUGAACGCACAUUGCGCCCCCUGGUAUUCCGGGGGGCAUGCCUGUUCGAGCGUCAUUUCAACCCUCAAGCUCUGCUUGGUAUUGAGUCCAUGUCAGCAAUGGCAGGCUCCAAAAUCAGUGGCGGCGCCGCUGGGUCCUGAACGUAGUAAUAUCUCUCGUUACAGGUGCUCGGCGUGCUUCUGCCAAAACCCCAAUUUUUCUAUGGUUGACCUCGGAUCAGGUAGGGAUACCCGCUGAACUUAAGCAUAUCAAUAAGCGGAGGA
Molecule: unclassified non-coding RNA, 328 nt
Filed under: soil metagenome
Description: partial contains 5.8S ribosomal RNA, internal transcribed spacer 2, and large subunit ribosomal RNA
Rfam family: 5.8S ribosomal RNA (bases 1-120)
Source: RNAcentral